This 253-nucleotide ribosomal RNA is filed under the name uncultured bacterium. RNAcentral's name for it is "partial 16S ribosomal RNA". It matches the Rfam family "Bacterial small subunit ribosomal RNA", at positions 524 to 776 of the family's 1533-position model. The record is from RNAcentral.
UACGAAGGGGGCUAGCGUUGUUCGGAAUUACUGGGCGUAAAGCGCGUGUAGGCGGGUUUUUAAGUCAGGGGUGAAAUGCCAAGGCUCAACCUUGGAACUGCCUUUGAUACUGGAGACCUUGAGUCCGGGAGAGGUGAGUGGAAUUGCGAGUGUAGAGGUGAAAUUCGUAGAUAUUCGCAAGAACACCAGUGGCGAAGGCGGCUCACUGGUCCGGUACUGACGCUGAGGUGCGAAAGCGUGGGGAGCAAACAGG